This 549-nucleotide ribosomal RNA is filed under the name Moellerodiscus lentus. Its description in RNAcentral is "eukaryotic LSU rRNA". It matches the Rfam family "Eukaryotic large subunit ribosomal RNA", at positions 55 to 606 of the family's 3401-position model. Lineage: Eukaryota; Fungi; Ascomycota; Leotiomycetes; Helotiales; Sclerotiniaceae. The record is from RNAcentral.
GGAAAAGAAACCAACAGGGAUUGCCUCAGUAACGGCGAGUGAAGCGGCAUAAGCUCAAAUUUGAAAUCUGGCUCUUUCAGAGUCCGAGUUGUAAUUUGUAGAAGAUGCUUCGGGUGUGGUUCCGGUCUAAGUUCCUUGGAACAGGACGUCAUAGAGGGUGAGAAUCCCGUAUGUGACUGGAUACCUUCGCCCAUGUGAAGCUCUUUCGACGAGUCGAGUUGUUUGGGAAUGCAGCUCAAAAUGGGUGGUAAAUUUCAUCUAAAGCUAAAUAUUGGCCAGAGACCGAUAGCGCACAAGUAGAGUGAUCGAAAGAUGAAAAGCACUUUGGAAAGAGAGUUAAACAGUACGUGAAAUUGUUGAAAGGGAAGCGCUUGCAAUCAGACUUGCGUCUAGUUGAUCAUCCUGGCUUCUGCUUGGUGCACUCAACUAGACUCAGGCCAGCAUCGGUUUGGGUGGUUGGAUAAAGGCCUUGGGAAUGUAGCCCUCUUCGGGGGGUGUUAUAGCCCUCGGUGCAAUGCAGCCUACCUGGACCGAGGACCGCGCUUCGGC